UCUUAUUCAGUAAAACAAGCCUUGAACUU
Molecule: non-coding RNA, 29 nt
Filed under: Mus musculus (house mouse)
Lineage: Eukaryota; Metazoa; Chordata; Mammalia; Rodentia; Muridae
Source: RNAcentral